GAUGAACGCUAGCGGCAGGCUUAAUACAUGCAAGUCGAGGGGCAGCACGAAUAGCAAUAUUUGGUGGCGACCGGCAAACGGGUGCGGAACACGUACGCAACCUUCCUUUAAGUGGAGGAUAGCCCGGGGAAACCCGGAUUAAUACUCCGUAACAUUAUAAAGUGGCAUCACUUAGUAAUUAUAGAUUUAUCGCUUAAAGAUGGGCGUGCGCCUGAUUAGGUAGUUGGCGGAGUAAAGCCCACCAAGCCUGCGAUCAGUAACUGGUGUGAGAGCACGACCAGUCACACGGGCACUGAGACACGGGCCCGACUCC
Molecule: ribosomal RNA, 313 nt
Filed under: uncultured bacterium
Lineage: Bacteria
Description: bacterial SSU rRNA
Rfam family: Bacterial small subunit ribosomal RNA
Source: RNAcentral